RNAcentral lists this long non-coding RNA (1382 nucleotides) under Heterocephalus glaber (naked mole-rat). Its description in RNAcentral is "lncRNA (ENSHGLG00100039587.1)". Lineage: Eukaryota; Metazoa; Chordata; Mammalia; Rodentia; Bathyergidae. The record is from RNAcentral.
UGGGGGACACCGAGGCCUCGCCUGUGACCUUAUCCUGGGGCCAGGCUACCAGCCAGCUGCGCGAACAAGCUCUUGCGGCAGGGGGCAGGGCUAAGCACGCUGUGCCCAAGGCUGAGCGCCACCCUGGCAGGGGCCUCACUCCUCAGGUCUCUCCUGUGGCCCUCAGGGGACAAGGACGCUCUUUCCACUCAGCCAGGGAGUGCCCUGGCUGCUCUGCCCCUCUCCCCACAGGACCCCUUAACCUAGGGCCUCUCACACCUACAGGUGGCCAGGAACCCAGUGGGCCUCAGAAUGUGCAUUUGUACCGGGUUCCCAAGGCCACAGAGGCUGACUGGCGGGAUCCGGGCUGAACUCCAGAGGGGAGGGCCUCUGCCCCCCGGAACCCUGGGAUGGAAGCAGCAUUUUGGAGGCUGAUUCCCAAGGAGGUAGGUCAUGGGCUGGCUGUGCCUGGUCCCAAUGGAAACGGACUUGGGGUUUGGCUCCGGGCUGGUCUCGGUUCAAGUCUUGAGCAAGGCCUGGGUGAGCCUGGUUCUGUGCGGUCCUGGCGCCUUCCAGACCGGCUUCGUCGUCUGGGCGAGCGGGAGGCUGGGUGUUGUUCGCUCUCUGGCCACCAGGGGGCGGUGAGAAGCAUUUUCCUGUCUUCCGGCGGGUCUUGGGGCCCCGUCCCUGUAACAGGGAGAACACUUUCGCCCCGCUUCUUACCCGCUGUGUGGCUUUGGGCGGGUUACUAACCUUUCUGAGCUCAGUUUCUGACUCAGCCUGGCUGCGCUGGGGCCAAACCCUCACAUUUCUAACAAGCGCCCAGAUAUUCGCCGCUGUGGGCGGCCGGGACAGUGCGGGGGUGACAAGGCUCCCGGCUCGCUCGAAGGGGGAAGAAGGACGACACCGGGCACCCACCGCGGGCCUCGGAACAAGCGCCCGAACUUCUCCCGCCCCGGGCUUCAUCCACGCCUUCGCUGGCUUGUUUCCUCCGCACUGCACUCUGGAAGGUAGUAGGGGGAACCAUUACCACCCCCCGCUAGCGGUGCAGAGCCGAGGGCCGCGGGGCGCAUGCGCUGUUGGGCACCGCUGUCCGCCUGGAAGGGCAGAGAGGCAGUCCCACCCCAGGCCUUCGCCUCGAAAUUACAUCUGCGCCCCUGAGGCUCAAGGCCUCCCACGGGGAGCUCGCUCAUGCCUUGGGAGCACACACAGCACAUUUGGGAGCAGGGAACAGGGGUUUUGUGAUCCUAGCAUGGUUUGCUGAACCCAGAUAUUAAGCCGGCAGACUUGGAGGAGAAGGGGAAGGAGAGGAGCAGGAGGCUGGCUAGCAAGGCCAGCUGCGUAGUAACCUCAGAGGAAUGGUGCGGGUGUGGGGCCUGGUGGGGGUCAGCAGACGCCCACCA